Molecule: long non-coding RNA, 182 nt
Organism: Bradysia coprophila
Lineage: Eukaryota; Metazoa; Arthropoda; Insecta; Diptera; Sciaridae
Source: RefSeq, a predicted model, not a curated record
AACGAAAUUUGUUAUGGGUAUUUGUAGGCAAUAACGAUCUGUUGAGGAACAAGAUUUGAGACUGAAAACUCUAGUUUCAAGAUAGAAUCGCAGUUUCAGACAUUAGAUUGAUCCUUUCUUUAUUGCCUCAAACUGUUGAAAAUUUGAUCUCAGUUAACUGAUCAUGCAACACCAUUGCAAGA